This 1004-nucleotide ribosomal RNA is filed under the name Klebsiella sp. RNAcentral describes it as "bacterial SSU rRNA". It matches the Rfam family "Bacterial small subunit ribosomal RNA", at positions 89 to 1089 of the family's 1533-position model. Lineage: Bacteria; Pseudomonadati; Pseudomonadota; Gammaproteobacteria; Enterobacterales; Enterobacteriaceae. The record is from RNAcentral.
UGACGAGCGGCGGACGGGUGAGUAAUGUCUGGGAAACUGCCUGAUGGAGGGGGAUAACUACUGGAAACGGUAGCUAAUACCGCAUAAUGUCGCAAGACCAAAGUGGGGGACCUUCGGGCCUCAUGCCAUCAGAUGUGCCCAGAUGGGAUUAGCUAGUAGGUGGGGUAACGGCUCACCUAGGCGACGAUCCCUAGCUGGUCUGAGAGGAUGACCAGCCACACUGGAACUGAGACACGGUCCAGACUCCUACGGGAGGCAGCAGUGGGGAAUAUUGCACAAUGGGCGCAAGCCUGAUGCAGCCAUGCCGCGUGUAUGAAGAAGGCCUUCGGGUUGUAAAGUACUUUCAGCGGGGAGGAAGGCGAUAAGGUUAAUAACCUUGUCGAUUGACGUUACCCGCAGAAGAAGCACCGGCUAACUCCGUGCCAGCAGCCGCGGUAAUACGGAGGGUGCAAGCGUUAAUCGGAAUUACUGGGCGUAAAGCGCACGCAGGCGGUCUGUCAAGUCGGAUGUGAAAUCCCCGGGCUCAACCUGGGAACUGCAUUCGAAACUGGCAGGCUAGAGUCUUGUAGAGGGGGGUAGAAUUCCAGGUGUAGCGGUGAAAUGCGUAGAGAUCUGGAGGAAUACCGGUGGCGAAGGCGGCCCCCUGGACAAAGACUGACGCUCAGGUGCGAAAGCGUGGGGAGCAAACAGGAUUAGAUACCCUGGUAGUCCACGCCGUAAACGAUGUCGAUUUGGAGGUUGUGCCCUUGAGGCGUGGCUUCCGGAGCUAACGCGUUAAAUCGACCGCCUGGGGAGUACGGCCGCAAGGUUAAAACUCAAAUGAAUUGACGGGGGCCCGCACAAGCGGUGGAGCAUGUGGUUUAAUUCGAUGCAACGCGAAGAACCUUACCUGGUCUUGACAUCCACAGAACUUAGCAGAGAUGGUUUGGUGCCUUCGGGAACUGUGAGACAGGUGCUGCAUGGCUGUCGUCAGCUCGUGUUGUGAAAUGUUGGGUUAAGUCCCG